UGCCCUAAACGUUGAUGCCACAAA
This 24-nucleotide non-coding RNA is filed under the name Arabidopsis thaliana (thale cress). Lineage: Eukaryota; Viridiplantae; Streptophyta; Magnoliopsida; Brassicales; Brassicaceae. The record is from RNAcentral.